Molecule: transfer RNA, 73 nt
Filed under: Camelus bactrianus (Bactrian camel)
Lineage: Eukaryota; Metazoa; Chordata; Mammalia; Artiodactyla; Camelidae
Also listed under: 1 other name
Rfam family: tRNA
About the family: Transfer RNA (tRNA) molecules are approximately 80 nucleotides in length. Their secondary structure includes four short double-helical elements and three loops (D, anti-codon, and T loops). Further hydrogen bonds mediate the characteristic L-shaped molecular structure. tRNAs have two regions of fundamental functional importance: the anti-codon, which is responsible for specific mRNA codon recognition, and the 3' end, to which the tRNAs corresponding amino acid is attached (by aminoacyl-tRNA synthetases). tRNAs cope with the degeneracy of the genetic code in two manners: having more than one tRNA (with a specific anti-codon) for a particular amino acid; and 'wobble' base-pairing, i.e. permitting non-standard base-pairing at the 3rd anti-codon position.
Source: Rfam by way of RNAcentral
GAGGGUAGAGCUCAAGUGGUAGAGCACAUGGUUAUCAUGUACGAGGUCCUGGGUUCAAACCCCAGUACCUCCU